ACAGUCUGCAUGCCUAGGGGCUUGGUUUUAUACAACUGUCUCCAUGGAAGUGACUGGAACAACUGAUAUUGGAUAUUUGGAUGGGUUUCUCCAGGUGGGACAAUGCUUGGUGCAGGAGGGAGGUGAAGGAAGGCAUCAUGCAACCUGAUACCAUCCUGGUUGAUGAACAGCAGAGGAUCCAACAGUGCCCUCGCCAGGAGGUGAAGAUAUUCAAGGACCAGCCCCGUUCAGGCCUCUAGUGCUUCAUACAAGGAACUACUGAGGUCCUUCGGACGUGGGCUCGUCGGCACUGAACAAGCAGUAGUGACUGAUGUGCCGACCUACGUCCGACUCUGAUCUGCACAGCACCUCAGAGGCCUGGAGCUGAUGUGACCUGGACGUGCAGCCUUUUGCACCCUGAACUUUCACAGCUCGUUCCUCACCUGAAGAGCUGAAAGAGAAAGAGUGGU
Molecule: long non-coding RNA, 449 nt
Organism: Fundulus heteroclitus (mummichog)
Lineage: Eukaryota; Metazoa; Chordata; Actinopteri; Cyprinodontiformes; Fundulidae
Exons: 3
Source: RefSeq, a predicted model, not a curated record